CUCAGGGCGUGCGCGAGGAGGGUGGAGUGUUCUGGGCGUUCCGAGUGAGGUGGUUCAUUUCCGUACGUCGUUUUUUGUCCCGGAGGUAAUGCCCGAAGGCUAUGAAAACGUCCUGAAGCCGUUUAGCUCUCACCCGUGAAGAAAAAAAGCUGAAGAUAAAGAGGAAAAGAAAAAUGGAGGACAUAGCAGGAAUUCAGCAGUGUUAAACCUUGAGGUACUGGGACAUAAACGUACAGCCCAAAUUCUAGGUGAAGGCAGUCGUGAAGCACACACAUCCUACAGAAUGACCACGAUAUGGACUGCAGUUCUUCACACUGACAGCGUGAGAAGAAAGAAGAAACAGUGACGAAUUCACCCUGUGUAUUAAGGACCUCUACCACCUCCUCCCGUUAACCCCCACCUUACAUCCUUGUCCUGCACCUCUGGAAGCUCAUUUGUUAGUGCAAUGUCAUGUGUUCUCUUUAGUGCCUCAACUCAGGGUGCUGGUUGGAGGCAGCUGGGUGCUCCCUCCGUAUAAUAUGUGUCCUAGCCCAGGCUGAGGGGGCAAACCUGCUCCCUCUGGACUCUGUAUCCAGGUAAGCAGAAUGGCAAAACGUUUGUUGUAAAAGUUUGUGAAGAAUUGCUGCAGGGUUAUUCGGAGCGGGCUACUGAUAGGACUGUGAAUGGGAACAAAAAACCUCACUGACAACUGACACAGCACAAGAGUUAAUCAUCUUGAAUCAUAAUAAUUUGUCAUCGAAAAAAAAAAAAGAAAACAACCCACUGAGAUCAAAGGCAAUUUUAGAGGAGUGAUUAUUUUGACAGAAGUGGCAUGUGGAGCUGUGCAUAUUACAGCAGGCAGCACGGGAGGUGCCAGCCUAUGGGAAAUGUGCACGCAGCUAUCAGAAGGGCAUGCGGUAAAAGGUAAAACAUUCAGAUGAACUUUUCAGCCAAAUGGUAGACAGUAUUGCAGCUGAUGGCAAGUGUUUGCCUGACAGAAAAGUAGUAUGUGCUACUUCAUGUUGGACAGUGAUGCCCAAACCAAUGCAGUACAACAGUCUAAGUCAUUCACAGUGACAGCAAAGCCAAAGGAAGAAGACAGAAGCCCAUUACUGGGUAAAAGUACGUCCAUUCCACAGCUUCCUCAGGAGAAUGUCUUCAUCAGGGAAGCAAAGGAGAAAAACAGCUUAAGAAAAAUCUCAGGAUUUUCCAUAGCAUAGUGACAAAUUGCACCUUUUCCAGUUUGUUAGCUAUUAUAUAUAUCUCCAGGAGGGAAAGGAUCAGUGGUACAUACUUAUCUUUCUCCAUUCACCCUAGGAUGAAGGUCUGUAGAAAAGUACAUGUGCCUUUUGGCACAAGGUGGCUGGUGCUGUAUAUUCCCUGCAUCUGUUGCUGGUAUAGAGGAAAAAUUCACAUGGGAUUUUGUUAAAAAGGAAUGGAGAGGUGGUUUACCCUGUGUUGAAUAAACAUACUGAGAAGAACAUGGGAUGGUUAGCUAGGCAUGGAUAAACCCUCGAGAAAGGCAUGAAGAUGUUCUGCAUUGCCUGAAAAUGACAAGUGACACGGGAAAAUCUCAGACUCAUCACAGGUGCCACAAUGAAACUAAGUCAAGCAAAACCUCAGGAGACAAAGGUUCCUCAAAAGCAAAGCAUGCUUUGCUUUACAUAGGCUGGAAAAACAAAACCACGUACCCUAUGCUAUUUUUUUUCCUUUGCUGAGCUAGCCUAAAUAGAAGAUAUUACAGAUGAGUGUAUGUGUCAAAAGCAUUGGAUAAGUUGGGAUGCAGCUGACAUAACUGUAAGUGACAGCGACAUUAUUUAGUUUAAGUAGUUUGCAGUUAAGUAUAGACUUAGACAUAAUCUUGCCAAUGGAACAGUUCCCACCCUAAUAUGUGAGUAAGAAAUGGUGCCAGAUUAAUA
Molecule: long non-coding RNA, 1898 nt
Organism: Gallus gallus (chicken)
Lineage: Eukaryota; Metazoa; Chordata; Aves; Galliformes; Phasianidae
Source: Ensembl